This 489-nucleotide ribosomal RNA is filed under the name uncultured bacterium. RNAcentral's name for it is "partial 16S ribosomal RNA". It matches the Rfam family "Bacterial small subunit ribosomal RNA", at positions 28 to 507 of the family's 1533-position model. The record is from RNAcentral.
GAUGAACGCUAGCUACAGGCUUAACACAUGCAAGUCGCGGGGCAGCAUGGGGGUUGCUUGCAAUCCCCGAUGGCGACCGGCGCACGGGUGAGUAACGCGUAUUCAACCUGCCCUUCACCACGGGAUAACCCGGCGAAAGUCGGACUAAUACCGUAUGUUGUCCAUUGACGGCAUCCGAUUUGGACGAAAGGCUUGGCGGUGAGGGAUGGGGAUGCGUCCGAUUAGCCAGACGGCGGGGUAACGGCCCACCGUGGCUACGAUCGGUAGGGGUUCUGAGAGGAGGGCCCCCAAAACUGAACUGAGACACGGUCCAGACUCCUACGGGAGGCAGCAGUGAGGAAUAUUGGUCAAUGGGCGUAAGCCUGAACCAGCCAAGUAGCGUGCAGGAUGACGGCCCUAUGGGUUGUAAACUGCUUUUAUGCGGGGAUAAAGUGGCCCACGUGUGGGCUUUUGCAGGUACCGCAUGAAUAAGGACCGGCUAAUUCCGUG